GGGCCCAGGUCCUCUAGGGCUGGGAGGAGCCUCCAGGAGCCCAUUGUAGCAUCCCCUGAAGCCAAGUGGGACUGUUUGGUAUGAGCUGCAAGCAAGAGACUGGCCCUUGAAGAACCAGGCUGCAGAGGCAUCCAUCUGGCAGAUUGGAAGCGGGGAAGGAAUGAAGCGUGUCCUGACUUCUGUCAGCUUGGGGAAGGAAGUCAGUGAGAUCCUGUCGGCCUGCUGGGCUUUCGACCUGCAGGAGAGACCCAGCUUCAGCCUGCUGAUGGACAUGCUGGAGAAACUUCCCAAGCUGAACCGGCGGCUCUCCCACCCUGGACACUUCUGGAAGUCAGCUGA
This 339-nucleotide small RNA is filed under the name Pan troglodytes (chimpanzee). RNAcentral's name for it is "processed transcript". The record is from RNAcentral. Lineage: Eukaryota; Metazoa; Chordata; Mammalia; Primates; Hominidae.